CAGUGUGUGACUACAGGAAACCCCACAGGAACUCCAUACAAGGACCCUUCCUGGCUCUCUGUUGUAGCUCUGCUGUCUGUGGCAGGGAUUCUGCCUUGCUUUUGUGCUUGGAGAGCUGCAAGGACCUGAGAGCCAAGACCUCAUUACUCAAGAUUCCCUGCGGCUGAAGGACAACUUCAUCCAAGCAGGCAAGACCUGGGCCAUUUCUGAGUAUCUCAUGUUCUGUGUCCAGCUGAGAGGAGUUUGGAUGGCAUCACCAUGUACAGGUGUCAUCUGAAGAGGUGGACACUGAAGGAGGAAUCAGCUGUGUUCCCUGCCUGGCAAGGCAUAAUUGCUACUUCAGGAAUGUUAACUGCAAAUUGCAUGUCAGCAAUGGAUGCAAUCUAAUGGGAGAUUCUCCUGAGCUUCCCAGAUCCACAGGUGUUUCCAUCUCCUGAUGCCACCAAAGUUUUCUCAGGAAGGAAAUG
Cyanistes caeruleus (blue tit) is the source of this 467-nucleotide non-coding RNA. NCBI's taxonomy places the organism in Eukaryota, Metazoa, Chordata, Aves, Passeriformes, Paridae. The record is from RefSeq and is a predicted model, not a curated record.